GGUUCACCGAUGUAUAUAAUUUGUCGACAUUCCAAUAAUCAGCAUCUUUUGGAAAGUAGGAAUGAAUUAUAUGCACGCAUACAUUCGUCCAAUCUUCUAGAAACUCUGGGUACCUUUGAUAAACAGCGGACUUUAAGUUUGCCUCGAGGGUUUGCUUGUUUGUGGUAGCAGUGCAAUUCAAUACUAGAUUGCCCGCAGGUGCAGAAGAGAUAUAGGAAAGAAUUAAGGAGCAACUUUCAGCAUUCAUUGCCGAGUUUGUUUUACGAAUUGCUAUCAAAAAAGGCCGGAUAACGGUAAUGCGUUUCAAAUACUCAAAAUAUGCCCAGAUCGAUAAAAACCAAAAAAUUUCUUUUUUGAAACCAUGCAAAUUGUAAUGUCUUAGUUUUUUCGGGCAACCUAGGUACUUUGCGCGGAACAAUCUAUUAUGUUCUCUUCACUUUGCACCUUUGACUACCUUGUUGAUGUGAGCUAUGCUAGCACCGAAGUUUUAGUACGUUGGCGAUGGAAGCACACUCGAUGUUGGCGAUAUAACGAAUGAUAUCUGCGAAAUUCCCUAGGCCUCGCUAGAGAUCAUUAUUCGGUAAACAAAAGAAUGGAGUGGGUUUUCAUGAAAUGGACGGAUUCUUUUAAUCGGAAAGAAAUGGGGUGAUAGGCAUAUUAGAAGAUAAUAAUAAUAAUAAAUAAUAAAAAGUUCAUA
Schizosaccharomyces pombe (fission yeast) is the source of this 697-nucleotide non-coding RNA. The record is from the annotation of a GenBank genome assembly. NCBI's taxonomy places the organism in Eukaryota, Fungi, Ascomycota, Schizosaccharomycetes, Schizosaccharomycetales, Schizosaccharomycetaceae.